UGGGGAAUAUUGCACAAUGGGCGCAAGCCUGAUGCAGCCAUGCCGCGUGUGUGAAGAAGGCCUUCGGGUUGUAAAGCACUUUCAGCGGGGAGGAAGGCGUUAAGGUUAAUAACCUUGGCGAUUGACGUUACCCGCAGAAGAAGCACCGGCUAACUCCGUGCCAGCAGCCGCGGUAAUACGGAGGGUGCAAGCGUUAAUCGGAAUUACUGGGCGUAAAGCGCACGCAGGCGGUCUGUCAAGUCGGAUGUGAAAUCCCCGGGCUCAACCUGGGAACUGCAUUGGAAACUGGCAGGCUAGAGUCUUGUAGAGAGGGGUAGAAUUCCAGGUGUAGCGAUGAAAGGCGUAGAGAUCUGGAGGAAUACCGGUGGCGAAGGGGGCCCCCUGGACAAAGACUGACGCUCAGGUGCGAAGGCGUGGGGGGCAAACAGG
RNAcentral lists this ribosomal RNA (429 nucleotides) under Chloroflexota bacterium. Its description in RNAcentral is "Chloroflexi bacterium partial 16S ribosomal RNA". It matches the Rfam family "Bacterial small subunit ribosomal RNA", at positions 355 to 776 of the family's 1533-position model. Lineage: Bacteria; Bacillati; Chloroflexota. The record is from RNAcentral.